RNAcentral lists this ribosomal RNA (400 nucleotides) under uncultured bacterium. RNAcentral's name for it is "bacterial SSU rRNA". It matches the Rfam family "Bacterial small subunit ribosomal RNA", at positions 129 to 524 of the family's 1533-position model. The record is from RNAcentral.
CCCGAUGGAGGGGGAUAACUACUGGAAACGGUAGCUAAUACCGCAUAACGUCGCAAGACCAAAGUGGGGGACCUUCGGGCCUCACACCAUCGGAUGUGCCCAGAUGGGAUUAGCUAGUAGGUGGGGUAAUGGCUCACCUAGGCGACGAUCCCUAGCUGGUCUGAGAGGAUGACCAGCCACACUGGAACUGAGACACGGUCCAGACUCCUACGGGAGGCAGCAGUGGGGAAUAUUGCACAAUGGGCGCAAGCCUGAUGCAGCCAUGCCGCGUGUAUGAAGAAGGCCUUCGGGUUGUAAAGUACUUUCAGCGGGGAGGAAGGCGGUGAAGUUAAUAGCUUCACCGAUUGACGUUACCCGCAGAAGAAGCACUGGCUAACUCCGUGCCAGCAGCCGCGGUAAU